RNAcentral lists this ribosomal RNA (274 nucleotides) under uncultured bacterium. RNAcentral describes it as "partial 16S ribosomal RNA". It matches the Rfam family "Bacterial small subunit ribosomal RNA", at positions 523 to 796 of the family's 1533-position model. The record is from RNAcentral.
AUACGGAGGGUCCAAGCGUUAUCCGGAAUCAUUGGGUUUAAAGGGUUCGCAGGCGGUUUAAUAAGUCAGUGGUGAAAUCUCGGGGCUCAACCUCGAAACUGCCAUUGAUACUGUUAGACUUGAAUACAGUUGGAGUAGGCGGAAUGUGUAGUGUAGCGGUGAAAUGCUUAGAUAUUACACAGAACACCGAUAGCGAAGGCAGCUUACUAAACUGUGAUUGACGCUCAUGAACGAAAGCGUGGGGAGCGAACAGGAUUAGAAACCCCAGUAGUCC